Molecule: long non-coding RNA, 319 nt
Organism: Alosa sapidissima (American shad)
Lineage: Eukaryota; Metazoa; Chordata; Actinopteri; Clupeiformes; Clupeidae
Exons: 2
Source: RefSeq, a predicted model, not a curated record
UUGUGUGUUCAGUUUUGUGGUUAUUUGUGUGUUUUUUAGUCAUGUUUUAACUGCCAGUCCUUGACUGGACCACAAAAGUGCAGUGGGUGAAGUGAUGUCAUUGGACACUACUACGGUAGUGAUGGGGAGAUUUGCUUUAGUCUUCAAAAGAAAACCAACCAAUUUGCAAUGCAACAUUCCUUUAAAUAAACAUGCAUUCAUGUACACUGAAAAGCAAACUGUUAUAUAUACACUACCGGUCAAAAGUUUGGGGUCACUUAGACAUUUCCAUUCCGCUCCAUUAUAGACAGAAUACCAGAUGAGAUCAGUUGCAUUGUUU